RNAcentral lists this ribosomal RNA (253 nucleotides) under uncultured bacterium. Its description in RNAcentral is "partial 16S ribosomal RNA". It matches the Rfam family "Bacterial small subunit ribosomal RNA", at positions 524 to 776 of the family's 1533-position model. The record is from RNAcentral.
GACGUAGGGGGCCAGCGUUGUUCGGAAUUACUGGGUGUAAAGGGUUCGUAGGCGGUGCGGCAAGUCGGGAGUGAAAUCUCUGGGCUUAACCCAGAGGCUGCUUCCGAAACUGCUGUGCUUGAGUGUGGGAGAGGCGCGUGGAAUUGCAGGUGUAGCGGUGAAAUGCGUAGAUAUUUGCAGGAACACCCGUGGCGAAAGCGGCGCGCUGGACCACUACUGACGCUGAGGAACGAAAGCCAGGGGAGCGAACGGG